UGGGGAAUAUUGGACAAUGGGCGAAAGCCUGAUCCAGCCAUGUCGCGUGUGUGAAGAAGGUCUUCGGAUUGUAAAGCACUUUAAGUUGGGAGGAAGGGCAUUAACCUAAUACGUUAGUGUUUUGACGUUACCGACAGAAUAAGCACCGGCUAACUCUGUGCCAGCAGCCGCGGUAAUACAGAGGGUGCAAGCGUUAUUCGGAAUUACUGGGCGUAAAGCGCGCGUAGGUGGUUUGUUAAGUUGGAUGUGAAAUCCCCGGGCUCAACCUGGGAACUGCAUUCAAAACUGACUGACUAGAGUAUGGUAGAGGGUGGUGGAAUUUCCUGUGUAGCGGUGAAAUGCGUAGAUAUAGGAAGGAACACCAGUGGCGAAGGCGACCACCUGGACUAAUACUGACACUGAGGUGCGAAAGCGUGGGGAGCAAACA
This 427-nucleotide ribosomal RNA is filed under the name uncultured bacterium. Its description in RNAcentral is "partial 16S ribosomal RNA". It matches the Rfam family "Bacterial small subunit ribosomal RNA", at positions 355 to 774 of the family's 1533-position model. The record is from RNAcentral.